Small nuclear RNA from Arvicola amphibius (Eurasian water vole), 109 nucleotides. NCBI's taxonomy places the organism in Eukaryota, Metazoa, Chordata, Mammalia, Rodentia, Cricetidae. The record is from RefSeq and is a predicted model, not a curated record.
GUGCUGUUUGGCAGGACAUGGAGCACAUUUGCUGAAAUUGGAACCAAAGAAGAUUAGCACGGCUCCUGUACAAGAUGAUAUGCAAAUCUGUGAAGCGUUCCAUAUUUAA